GGGUGCCAUCAUACCAGCACUAAUGCACCAGAUCCUAUAAGAACUCUGUAGUUAAGCAUGCUUGGGCGAGAGUAAUACUAGGAUGGGUGACCUCGUGGGAAUUCCUCGUAUUCCACCCC
Molecule: ribosomal RNA, 119 nt
Organism: Magnolia sinica
Lineage: Eukaryota; Viridiplantae; Streptophyta; Magnoliopsida; Magnoliales; Magnoliaceae
Source: RefSeq, a predicted model, not a curated record